UACGGAGGGCGCUAGCGUUGUUCGGAAUUACUGGGCGUAAAGCGCACGUAGGCGGCUUUUUAAGUCAGGGGUGAAAUCCCGGGGCUCAACCCCGGAACUGCCCUUGAAACUGGAAGGCUAGAAUCUUGGAGAGGCGAGUGGAAUUCCGAGUGUAGAGGUGAAAUUCGUAGAUAUUCGGAAGAACACCAGUGGCGAAGGCGACUCGCUGGACAAGUAUUGACGCUGAGGUGCGAAAGCGUGGGGAGCAAACAGG
RNAcentral lists this ribosomal RNA (253 nucleotides) under uncultured bacterium. RNAcentral describes it as "partial 16S ribosomal RNA". It matches the Rfam family "Bacterial small subunit ribosomal RNA", at positions 524 to 776 of the family's 1533-position model. The record is from RNAcentral.